GGAGAGGCUGUGGCUCAGUGGUAGAGCAUUUGCUUGGGAUGCAGGAGGCGCAGGUUCAAUCCCCCACAUUUCCA
RNAcentral lists this transfer RNA (74 nucleotides) under Sphaerodactylus townsendi. Its description in RNAcentral is "tRNA-Pro". It matches the Rfam family "tRNA". From Rfam's summary of the family: Transfer RNA (tRNA) molecules are approximately 80 nucleotides in length. Their secondary structure includes four short double-helical elements and three loops (D, anti-codon, and T loops). The record is from RNAcentral. Lineage: Eukaryota; Metazoa; Chordata; Lepidosauria; Squamata; Sphaerodactylidae.